RNAcentral lists this ribosomal RNA (254 nucleotides) under uncultured bacterium. RNAcentral's name for it is "partial 16S ribosomal RNA". It matches the Rfam family "Bacterial small subunit ribosomal RNA", at positions 524 to 776 of the family's 1533-position model. The record is from RNAcentral.
UACGGGGGGAGCAAGCGUUGUUCGGAUUUACUGGGCGUAAAGAGCGCGUAGGCGGCUCGGUAAGUGUGAAGUGAAAUCUCUAGGGCUCAACCCAGAAACUGCUUUACAUACUGUCGAGCUGGAGUGAUGAAGAGGUUUGUGGAAUUCCUGGUGUAGCGGUGAAAUGCGUUGAUAUCAGGAGGAACACCCAUGGCGAAGGCAGCAAACUGGUCAUCAACUGACGCUGAGGCGCGAAAGCGUGGGUAGCAAACAGG